This 736-nucleotide ribosomal RNA is filed under the name Melanina gundecimermaniae. Its description in RNAcentral is "SSU rRNA". It matches the Rfam family "Eukaryotic small subunit ribosomal RNA", at positions 118 to 866 of the family's 1831-position model. The record is from RNAcentral. Lineage: Eukaryota; Fungi; Ascomycota; Eurotiomycetes; Chaetothyriales.
UAUUUGAUAGUACCUUUACCUGGAUAACCGUGGUAAUUCUAGAGCUAAUACAUGCUAAAAACCUCGACUUCGGAAGGGGUGUAUUUAUUAGAUAAAAAACCAAUGCCCUUCGGGGCUCCUUGGUGAAUCAUAAUAACUUAACGAAUCGCAUGGCCUUGCGCCGGCGAUGGUUCAUUCAAAUUUCUGCCCUAUCAACUUUCGAUGGUAAGAUAGAGGCUUACCAUGGUCUUAACGGGUAACGGGGAAUUAGGGUUCUAUUCCGGAGAGGGAGCCUGAGAAACGGCUACCACAUCCAAGGAAGGCAGCAGGCGCGCAAAUUACCCAAUCCCGACACGGGGAGGUAGUGACAAUAAAUACUGAUACGGGGCUCUUUUGGGUCUCGUAAUUGGAAUGAGUACAAUCUAAAUCCCUUAACGAGGAACAAUUGGAGGGCAAGUCUGGUGCCAGCAGCCGCGGUAAUUCCAGCUCCAAUAGCGUAUAUUAAAGUUGUUGCCGUUAAAAAGCUCGUAGUUGAACCUUGGGCCUGGCUGACCUGUCCUCCUAAUCGAGCGCACGGGUUCGGUCGGGCCUUUCCUUCUAGGGAACCCCAUGCCCUUCACUGGGUGUGGUGGGGAACUAGGACUUUUACCUUGAAAAAAUUAGAGUGUUCAAAGCAGGCCUUUGCUCGAAUACAUUAGCAUGGAAUAAUAGAAUAGGACAUCGGUUCUAUUUUGUUGGUUUCUAGGACCGCCGUAAU